This 433-nucleotide ribosomal RNA is filed under the name uncultured bacterium. RNAcentral describes it as "partial 16S ribosomal RNA". It matches the Rfam family "Bacterial small subunit ribosomal RNA", at positions 29 to 507 of the family's 1533-position model. The record is from RNAcentral.
AACGAACGCUGGCGGCAUGCCUAACACAUGCAAGUCGAACGAGACCUUCGGGUCUAGUGGCGCACGGGUGCGUAACGCGUGGGAACCUGCCCUUAGGUUCGGAAUAACUCCCCGAAAGGGGUGCUAAUACCGGAGAAUGUCUUCGGACCAAAGAUUUAUCGCCUUUGGAUGGGCCCGCGUUGGAUUAGCUAGUUGGUAGGGUAAAAGCCUACCAAGGCGACGAUCCAUAGCUGGUCUGAGAGGAUGAUCAGCCACACUGGGACUAAGACACGGCCCAGACUCCUACGGGAGGCAGCAGUGGGGAAUAUUGGACAAUGGGCGAAAGCCUGAUCCAGCAAUGCCGCGUGAGUGAUGAAGGCCUUAGGGUUGUAAAGCUCUUUUACCCGGGAUGAUAAUGACAGUACCGGGAGAAUAAGCUCCGGCUAACUCCGUG